RNAcentral lists this ribosomal RNA (253 nucleotides) under uncultured bacterium. RNAcentral's name for it is "partial 16S ribosomal RNA". It matches the Rfam family "Bacterial small subunit ribosomal RNA", at positions 524 to 776 of the family's 1533-position model. The record is from RNAcentral.
UACGGGGGGGGCAAGCGUUGUUCGGAAUUACUGGGCGUAAAGGGCUCGUAGGCGGCCAACUAAGUCAGACGUGAAAUCCCCAGGCUCAACCUGGGAACUGCGUCUGAUACUGGAUGGCUUGAAUCCGGGAGAGGGAUGCAGAAUUCCAGGUGUAGCGGUGAAAUGCGUAGAUAUCUGGAGGAAUACCGGUGGCGAAGGCGGCAUCCUGGACCGGCAUUGACGCUGAGGAGUGAAAGCCAGGGGAGCAAACGGG